RNAcentral lists this ribosomal RNA (493 nucleotides) under uncultured bacterium. Its description in RNAcentral is "partial 16S ribosomal RNA". It matches the Rfam family "Bacterial small subunit ribosomal RNA", at positions 29 to 508 of the family's 1533-position model. The record is from RNAcentral.
AGUGAACGCUGGCGGUAGGCCUAACACAUGCAAGUCGAACGGCAGCACAGUAAGAGCUUGCUCUUACGGGUGGCGAGUGGCGGACGGGUGAGGAAUACAUCGGAAUCUACUUUUUCGUGGGGGAUAACGUAGGGAAACUUACGCUAAUACCGCAUACGACCUACGGGUGAAAGCAGGGGAUCUUCGGACCUUGCGCGAUUGAAUGAGCCGAUGUCGGAUUAGCUAGUUGGCGGGGUAAAGGCCCACCAAGGCGACGAUCCGUAGCUGGUCUGAGAGGAUGAUCAGCCACACUGGAACUGAGACACGGUCCAGACUCCUACGGGAGGCAGCAGUGGGGAAUAUUGGACAAUGGGCGCAAGCCUGAGCCAGCCAUACCGCGUGGGUGAAGAAGGCCUUCGGGUUGUAAAGCCCUUUUGUUGGGAAAGAAAAGCAGCAGGUUAAUACCCCGCUGUUCUGACGGUACCCAAAGAAUAAGCACCGGCUAACUUCGUGC